UGCCUACGGGGCGCAGCAGUGGGGGAUAUUGCACAAUGGGGGAAACCCUGAUGCAGCGACGCCGCGUGGGCGAAGAAGUAUUUCGGUACGUAAAGCCCUAUCAGCAGGGAAGAAGAAAUGACGGUACCUGAGUAAGAAGCCCCGGCUAACUACGUGCCAGCAGCCGCGGUAAUACGUAGGGGGCAAGCGUUAUCCGGAUUUACUGGGUGUAAAGGGGGCGCAGACGGCGAUGCAAGCCAGGAGUGAAAGCCCGGGGCCCAACCCCGGGACUGCUCUUGGAACUGCGUGGCUGGAGUGCAGGAGGG
RNAcentral lists this ribosomal RNA (305 nucleotides) under uncultured bacterium. Its description in RNAcentral is "bacterial SSU rRNA". It matches the Rfam family "Bacterial small subunit ribosomal RNA", at positions 335 to 656 of the family's 1533-position model. The record is from RNAcentral.